This 182-nucleotide ribosomal RNA is filed under the name uncultured bacterium. RNAcentral describes it as "partial 16S ribosomal RNA". It matches the Rfam family "Bacterial small subunit ribosomal RNA", at positions 1318 to 1500 of the family's 1533-position model. The record is from RNAcentral.
GCAUGAAGUCGGAAUUGCUAGUAAUCGCGGAUCAGCAUGCCGCGGUGAAUACGUUCCCGGGCCUUGUACACACCGCCCGUCACACCAUGGGAGCCGGUAAUACCCGAAGUCAGUGACCCAACCUUUGGAGGGAGCUGCCGAAGGCAGGUCUGAUAACUGGGGUGAAGUCGUAACAAGGUAUC